GUUUAUGCUUUGUGUAUUUCGGGCCAUCAAGGGCAGACAAGGUUGUUGGGAGGAUUAGACGCGCAGCAGAGCUGGGUGACGGUCCCUCGUUUCUGCCCCUUACAAACGGCCAUCAGAUGACAAGGGCUGAUUUAAUCAUCACAAGAAGCGUGAGUGAGGAGAAACACGGGCCAGCUGCUCUGGCCACAGAGCAGACGCAGCCACACACUCGCUCUUCACACCCUUGCAGGAGGAGGCCCAGCUGCUGUUAUCUGGGAUACCACGGCUGCACCCAGCUGGACGAGCCAAGGGCAGAAGUGCGUGUUAUCAGAAGGGGCAGACGGGAGUCUCAGGAAGCUGGUGGAACAGCACGGGGACUAUUUUAGCCCGGGGGUCUCGCUAUCUCUCCGCCCUGCUAGCCUGCCAACGUCAGAGAGGAGAGCGAGACAGAAAGAGACAUUACCACCACAGCGCACCCUGACAGACCAACGUCAAAGAGGAGAUGAGCCACAGUCUACAGGGUUCAGGGAUUAUUUUAGUGGGAUUAAACGUGGAUUAAAGCCCUAGUUGGCAAUUCCUGUAUUCCUGUAAUUGAGCAUUUGCCAAUGCAAUAACAUGUUUUUGUUCCUACUCCCAUGCACACACACAGGAUCAGUGCGUGGAUCUGUGCUGAG
Electrophorus electricus (electric eel) is the source of this 653-nucleotide long non-coding RNA. RefSeq lists it as uncharacterized. NCBI's taxonomy places the organism in Eukaryota, Metazoa, Chordata, Actinopteri, Gymnotiformes, Gymnotidae. The record is from RefSeq and is a predicted model, not a curated record.